Molecule: long non-coding RNA, 510 nt
Organism: Leptopilina boulardi
Lineage: Eukaryota; Metazoa; Arthropoda; Insecta; Hymenoptera; Figitidae
Exons: 2
Source: RefSeq, a predicted model, not a curated record
GGAAAUGUGUGUCCUAUAUAUAUAUAUUUUGAAUUGUUAUAACAAAAGAAGAAUAAGCGUUAAAAAAAAAAAUUUUUGUUUUUUUAUAAUUGAAAAAAUAACAAUUUCGUGUGGCUCGAGAGGAUGAUACCACGAAAUUAGUCUUUUAGACUGAUGAAUUUUUUUUUUCAGCAAAAGUUUUAAGUGAUUUAAAUUGUUUCUAAAUAAUAAUUUAUUUACACUUGUCUACCUCUUUACAUGAGUAUACAAAAGCGGAGAAUCGCUAUCGCAAGAGACUAAAACUGAAUUAUUAAAAUUCCUACAGAUAAAAACAAUGCAAUUACUCCCCCUAAUUUAUUUGGAAUUGAAUGCAAAAUUGCAUAAGCAAAUAAAAAAUAUCAUUCUGGUUGAAUAUGAAUAGGUGUAACCAUUGAAUUUGCAACAUUAAAAUUUUGAUGAAAUUACAUUUAUAUUUACUUCAUACAGAAACAAUUAAAUUAAAACAAAAAAAAAAAAAAAAAAAAAAAAAAA